Molecule: ribosomal RNA, 480 nt
Filed under: uncultured bacterium
Lineage: Bacteria
Description: bacterial SSU rRNA
Rfam family: Bacterial small subunit ribosomal RNA
Source: RNAcentral
GAUGAACGCUAGCUACAGGCUUAACACAUGCAAGUCGAGGGGCAGCAUGAACUUAGCUUGCUAAGUUUGAUGGCGACCGGCGCACGGGUGAGUAACGCGUAUCCAACCUGCCCUUUACGCGGGGAUAGCCUUCUGAAAGGAAGUUUAAUACCCGAUGAAUUCGUUUAGUCGCAUGGCUUGAUGAACAAAGAUUUAUCAGUAAAGGAUGGGGAUGCGUCCCAUUAGCUGGUUGGUGGGGUAACGGCCCACCAAGGCGACGAUGGGUAGGGGUUCUGAGGGGAAGGUCCCCCCANAUUGGAACUGAGACACGGUCCAAAACUCCUACGGGAGGCAGCAGUGAGGAAUAUUGGUCAAUGGGCGCGAGCCUGAACCAGCCAAGUAGCGUGGAGGACGACGGCCCUACGGGUUGUAAACUCCUUUUGUCGGAGAGUAAAGUACGCUACGUGUAGCGUAUUGCAAGUAUCCGAAGAAAAAGCAAUC